AUUGAACGCUGGCGGCAGGCCUAACACAUGCAAGUCGAGCGGAUCGGCCGACGGGUGCGGAAGGCCUAUGAAUAUGCCUGGUCGUGGGGGAUAAGGUUCGGUAACGGGCACUGAUACCGCAUACUAUUACAUUCAGCUAGGACGGAUUAGCUAGUUGGUGGGGUAAAGGCCUACCAAGACGACGAUCCGUAACUGGUCUGAGAGGAUGAUCAGUCACACUGGAACUGAGACACGGUCCAGACUCCUACGGGAGGCAGCAGUGGGGAAUAUUGGACAAUGGGCGAAAGCCUGAUGCAGCCAUGCCGCGUGUGUGAAGAAGGUCUUCGGAUUGUAAAGCACUUUAAGUUGGGAGGCGUUACCAACAGAAUAAGCACCGGCUAACUUCGUGCCAGCAGCCGCGGUAAUAC
Molecule: ribosomal RNA, 407 nt
Filed under: uncultured bacterium
Lineage: Bacteria
Description: partial 16S ribosomal RNA
Rfam family: Bacterial small subunit ribosomal RNA
Source: RNAcentral